GACAGAGGUGCCAAGCGUUAGGCGGAAUCACUGGGCUUAAAGCGUGUGUAGGCGGCUCGUUAAGUACCUUGUGAAAUCCCACGGCUCAACCGUGGAACUGCUGGGUAUACUGGCGGUCUUGAGCCACCUAGGGGCGAGCGGAACAAACGGUGGAGCGGUGAAAUGCGUAGAUAUCGUUUGGAACGCCAACGGUGAAAACAGCUCGCUGGGGGUGUGCUGACGCUGAGACACGAAAGCCAGGGGAGCGAACGGG
RNAcentral lists this ribosomal RNA (253 nucleotides) under uncultured bacterium. RNAcentral describes it as "partial 16S ribosomal RNA". It matches the Rfam family "Bacterial small subunit ribosomal RNA", at positions 524 to 776 of the family's 1533-position model. The record is from RNAcentral.